This 1402-nucleotide long non-coding RNA is filed under the name Canis lupus familiaris (dog). RNAcentral's name for it is "lncRNA (ENSCAFG00040022549.1)". The record is from RNAcentral. Lineage: Eukaryota; Metazoa; Chordata; Mammalia; Carnivora; Canidae.
AUGAUAGAUUGCUUUUUUCCCCUCAGUGCAAACCAGAAAUUGAAGCAGACGGAGCAUGUCUUCCACAGUGUCAGGCAAGGGAGUUGGCUUGCGGAGAGUCAGCCCGGACAUACUGGGAGAGCAGGGAACCUGGAAGAACUCGAAUUCCCAACACCUUCACCCUCCGUGUAUAUGGUCCAGAUUUCUCCACCUGGCCACCAGUGCUGUGAUCAUCAGUUCCAUCCAGGAAAGCAACGUGGAGCCAGAGAGAGACAGGCAUCCUUAAAGUGGGCCAGGAAUGAGCUCAUUUUGGAACCAGAUGAGGGAAGUUUGCCUUCCUGGAAACAGCGGCACUUGGCGGACAGGCUGUCGGUGGAAGCGAUGACUCAGUUGUGAGUUGCAUGCUUGCCAGAAGUUUGUCUCUUUGAACUAAUUAUUGUCUACCAAAAAAUGACAGGCAUUGUAAAAUAAUGGGGGAAAAAACCCUCAAUUCAAGGACACACGUCAACUUGGGGCAAUUAACAUUCUGAAAGGUCCAUUAGUGUGGGAGGCUUGGGAAAAAUCUUUUCUUAUAAACUCCUAAUCAUAUUAGGCAUUUCAGAAACAGAGUUAAGAGGGAGGGAGUCAUAUGUUGGUUACACAGCACUUCCUGAAUAAAGUGUGUCCCCAGAGACCAGAAUCAGAACUUGGGAGAGUGUCUGGUUUUGGAAAAUAUAUGCUUUUCUCAAAUUGCUAGUGUGUGGUUUGUGGUGUGUGUGUGUGUGUGAGAGAGAGAGAGAGAGAUGAAGGGAAAAAGAAGCACUAUUUGUCUCUGUGUGUGAACAUAUGUCAAUUUCCUUCCUAAAGCACAGGAUAGAAUAAAUAAAGAGUUUUUUAAAUCUAAUGACGAUAUUAUAUUUUAGUCUAGCAUGUAUAUCUGGAAAAUAGAUUCUAAGGAUUAGAAGGCAGUCCUGAGAAUUUGGGGUAUUUGCAGGUAUGCCAUACCCCGUGUAAUCUGAAUGAUUUAUUUUUUUUCUUCCCUGGAUUCCUAUGCCCUGAUUCUGGGACUAAUCUGAUUUUCCAUGGUCAGACCACCCCCACAUCACAGUGACUAUCAAUGCCCUCCAGGGUGGGAAUCUGACCCAAGUCUAGCCAAUCACUACAUUCUAUCAAAUUGGCAGUGGUGAUUAGCUCUGUGUGGUCACGCGACCCAGCGGAGUCCCACUUGCUGUGUCCUGCCAAGGGACAAAGGCAGUGGGAAGUAAAGCAUCUCUGCACACCAUAGGCUUCCACAUGGUGAUGUCAACCUGCCCUUGGCAUUUGCCCCAGCCCAGCGCUAUGGAGCCUAGUCUGUCUCAGGCUAUCAGAUUUGGGUUAGAAGCCAGUUUCUGAUGUAGUAGGUGGUAAAGGUUCCAACACCAAUGAUGUACAGCCCUGUUUUCUC